This 404-nucleotide ribosomal RNA is filed under the name uncultured bacterium. RNAcentral's name for it is "partial 16S ribosomal RNA". It matches the Rfam family "Bacterial small subunit ribosomal RNA", at positions 30 to 526 of the family's 1533-position model. The record is from RNAcentral.
AUUGAACGCUAGCUGCAGGCCUAACACAUGCAAGUCGAGCGAGCGGCGGACGGGUGAGUAAUGCCUGGGAAUUGCCCAGUCGAGGGGGCUAACAGUUGGAAACGACUGCUCAUACCGCAUACGUCUGGGUUGCCCAGCUGGGAUUGGCUAGUUGGUGAGGUAAUGGCUCACCAAGGCGACGAUCCCUAGCUGGUCUGAGAGGUUGAUCAGCCACACUCGAACGGGUAUAAGGUCCAGACUCCUAGGGCAGGCAGCAGUGGCGAAUAUUGCAGAAUGGGGGAGUCCCUGAUGCCGCCAUGCGGCGAGUUUGAAGAAGGCUUGCGGGUUGUAAGUCACUUUCAUCGGCGAGGCGUUACGGGCAGAAGAAGUACCGGGUAUAUCCGUGCCAGCCGCCGCGGUAAUAC